Non-coding RNA from Coturnix japonica (Japanese quail), 5944 nucleotides. NCBI's taxonomy places the organism in Eukaryota, Metazoa, Chordata, Aves, Galliformes, Phasianidae. The record is from RefSeq and is a predicted model, not a curated record.
UAAGCAUUGGCAGUGGAAGCGAGGUUAUCUUUUGCUAGAGACUUCUCUCUGCCUGAGACCUUCUGAAGUCCUUUCCAUUGCGUUAUAGCAUUACACCAGGAAAGAUUAGCUCAGCUACAAGGGGCUCCUUGGAAUGUCCAGACACAAAAAUAAGAGGAGGAAAAUGGAAAAAAACAAACAAACAACAACAACAACAACAACAACAAAAAACUUCCAUGAAAUUAUAAAGAAAUAUCUGUUUUCUUUUUAGCAGAUCUUAGAGUGGGUCACUCUCAAAGUUAUCCUCAGCUGCUUAAAACAAAAUAAAACCAACCAAACAAAAACCAAUGAUGAAGCAGUUUUUAGUCAUGUUUUCUGGAUCACCGUUAAGGGGUUGUGUGUAUGAUAUAAAAAUGUAUGUACUGUCUGCAACAGAAUAUAGAAACAUGACUUGGACUCCUUGAAUGUGUCCUCAGAUUUCUCCAGUGCUCAUAGUUAUGCUUUAUAAAGCUUAAAUUUUGGAAAUGCCACCGACUAUUUUAACGAGAGUUAGUACUUUCCAUUGCAGUAUCGCUUGUAGACUAAUUGCUAUUUGCAUUGGAACGCUGUUGCAUCAAAAAGUAUCAGCCCUGAGCCUGCUGAGAGGGAGUAAGGGCUGCUUUCCACCACAGGGACCAUACUGACCCUCAGCCCUCCACAGAAUCAGUGAGGGAGAGGAGGGAGACAGCGCUCAUCCCUCCUGCCCUGGCCAUCACUGCCAGCCAGCUGAACAAAACAGGGAUGAGCCAACAAACAGACAAGAGAGCAGUGACCCGUCUCCCACGUGCCAUCCUAGAGAAGUGUCUCUGGCUGGGGUCUGAAUGCGUCAGCCUGCCACAGGCUUAGUCCCAGGCAGCUGGUGAGUGCAUGCUGACAUGAUGUGGAAGAGUGACGGUGACCCCCUCACCUCCCUACAGCAACAGUGACUUCAUGUCUAAAAAAGGAAGAGCGCUUUCAAGAUAAAUCAAAACUGCUUAUUGUUUUUCCUCCUGCUUUUAUUUCUGUUCUUGCAGAAAGGUCAAGAGUGCUGGUGUAAUCAUUUUUAUGAGACAUCUGCCCAUUUUUAAUACUGUACAUUCACCACAGGCUAGGCCCAGCCAUCUCUAUGCCUGCAGCCCUUCUCUUGCUCUUGUAGGGCUGCCUGAAUCAGCCACGCUCUUCUACUUUGCUGGCCUGGAAGCACGCUGGACUGUGCUUUGAAGGCAGGCUCAUAUGCCAAGGGCUUCAAGUGUUUUAUCAAUCUUGGUUGGAAAUUGGAAGGAACUGUGGAUGCAGGCAAUAUGUUUCUGCUGACCCAUAUGUUAUGUCACAUAUAUUAGGGACCUGCUGAUCUUCUGGUUUAGGCAGGAUUAGGUUCUAGUCUCAACUUCACUGUUAUUUUCCUUCUUAUUUUGAUAAAUUCACUAAUCUGCACUUUGGCAUCUCCGUUUAUUAGACAAGGUGAAGCUACUAGUUCCUACAGCCAUUAUUGCACUGGGAUGCAGAGCAUCUCUGGCAGCUCUGGGCUCUUUGGAUGAAAGAUUUGUUACCUAACCCGGGGCAAUGUGGAGAGAUCUGUGAGUCAGUGUAAACUCAAGUGUCCCUGGCUUGGUUGCUGCAUUUUGUCACGUAGGAGCAGUUACAGAUGUGUUUGGAUGGCCCAUGUGAUAGGAAUACGCUGUGCGCACCCAGGGCUGCUAACAGUGAGAGGCAGCCAGCGUGGAGAAAACAAAUCUUUCACAAAGAGCCAUCUAAUGAAAUUUGUAGUACUAUUAGACUUUGAUACAAAUAUAGCCCUUCAGCUGUUAUUUUUAAAAUGGAUUUCAGGAACAUGAAUAGGUUCUGUCUUCUUUGGGUUUUAUCCAAUGAAAUUUCUGGAUUUGUGGGAGAACACUUCUAGGAGGAUAAGAGAAAUGACUCUGACCAGAUGAUGAGGGCCUUGGUGCUUGCCUCCCAGAGCAAAAAGCGUUUGUGCAUUGUGGUGGGUCAUCUGUUGUUACUCCGAUUCCUUGUACAAGCUGAACAUAUCAAGACAAACAUUCGCACUGGGGAUACCACGUGUCUGAAAUAGUUCAUUUUGAAGAUACAGAAGCUAUAAGAUGUGAAUGGAUGUGCUUUGCUAUCUGGACAGGUCCAGAUAUAAUCCCAUCAUCAACCUCCCUUCACAGUUAUUGCCUACAAAUGCUAACAGGCAAUGCCUGAGCUGCCAGAGGGUGAGCAGGUGAGAGAGCACAUCAAACCACUGGCCAGAGGCAGUGUUGGGAUCAGUGCAGGCCUGCUAACUGGGCCAGGCCCUCUGCAGGUUGCUGGAUGUGGCUUUGGAGGCAGCCUGCAAACAACUAUUGCCUCCUCUGCUUUACCUCCAGACUGCUCAGCAGAUCCAAAUCCAAACCUGGAUUUGGCCAUCAGCCAUAAGGCUGCUCCUUUACCUCAUGUUCAUAAGCAAACACAUCUAGCUGGUGGCUUUGGCCAUGGUCUGUCCUCCCCAUCCCAAUGCUUCAAGGCAGCUACAGUCCCCUGGAGAAAACACCGAGUCACAACAUUGUAUGGACUGGAAGGGACCUCUGGAGAACAUCUAGUCCAAUCCCCUGCUAAGGCAGCUGUCUUACAGAUGUAAUGAAAUGGCACAGAGAAGAUACUGCAAGCAGACCAUCUUAGGGUAACAAAAUGGUACAUGGACUCUUAAAUAUUAAAUGUGGAUGCUGAUGGGCACAACACUCAGGAUGUGGCUCCAGCUCUGCCACUGCUUCUCGCUCACUUCCCUUGCAUAAGCAGAAACAGCAAGCUCCAAAAGAGCACUAUGCUAAAGUACUUAAAUCAGUACUUAAAACAGUGAAUUAAAUCCAGCAAAUGCACUAAAAUACAAAAUUUCCAGAAAGUCAUGAAUCUUAAGGCUUUUCUCUUCAAGCUUAGAGAUGUGCUGCUGUUUGGAGAGCUGGAGAGGUAAACUUUGUGCAGGAUGGUCAGCACAGAAAGCCAGAUCUGCUAGCAGCCAUCAUUACUUUGAGAGACUGGGCCAAUGCAGCAGAGAUGGAUGACAGCUUUAAUAACAGAUGAAGUCAACCUGGGACAAGUAUGUCUCCAAUAAACCUAAACAUCACAGAAUGAGUUUGGAUUAUGCCAGCACCCAAAAAACACUGACCUAAAAAGCUUUUAUGUUGUAUCUGUUUCCUGAAAUGCUGCCUCAGAGCAAACACCAGAAGAAGAUGCUGCCCAGCAAGGGAAAACUAAAGAACUCCUUUACACCAGCAAUGUCCUAUCCCACCAUCCUCAUCUCUGGAUUGUGGCUGCAACUGUAUGAAAUGUGAAUAGACUGCCUUAAACCAAAUAAGAUCCCCCUAAAUUUGCUGUGGAUUUUGAUCUACACAAAAACUCCACAUAAUAUUUUCCCCCCACUUUUUCAGUUCACUGUAGGCUUGUGCUUUUCCUGCUGCCUGUAAACUGAGGGCUGUUUCCAGAGAGCUAUGAACUAGUCGGGUAAACAGCUGCUACUAGGCAAUAGUAGUGUGCUCAGCAGAAAGCCUGUCCUGAUUUACUGCCUCCCUCAAGUAGUUAGGUUAAAUAACACUGGUGGAAAUCAGCUAUUCCUGGAGCAGAUGAUUCUUCUGUUUAUCACAUUAUGUUGCAGACAACUUUAUAUCACGCAGCUGCUCUGGGCAUAUGUUCCUACUACAGUUUUAAGGGGGAUACUGUUAUCACUAUGCAGUGGGAACUUCUGCUAUAAUAAAAACGUGUGGGAUAAUGCUGGAGAAAUUCCCUUCCCUGCAGCUUUUACACUGCAGAUGCUGUUUCUCUGUACUCUCAGUUCACCUCUUUGUUUAGUUCUCUCCUCCUUUCUAAAAAUAAUUUCCCUCUAAAACAAGAAUCGUGCUGAGUUUUGUGCAUAGAUUGCAGGAUGGGACCUCAAGAAAUAGAAGAAGCAGUUCUGAAGGAGCUUUAUAGAGAUCAUGGGUGAUAGAGGGGUACAUGGCUCAUUGCAAGAAGUAGGGCUGUAACCUCAGGUGGAAAAAAGCUGAGUCUGAAUGUAGGCAGGGAAAGAGAGAGAAGCUGUGUUGGACUUCCAAGUACAGUGCUUGAUACCUGAUCUUUAGAGGUCAUUGAACAUGGAUGCAUUUGGGUUUUCUAGUAGAUUUCACUAAAUCCUUUGAAAAAUGAGUUUGUCAUUAGUACCAAAAUAAAAAUAAUACCAGAUAAAUGUACUGGUUGCUCAGGCAUAAGUGAAGCACAUUGAGAUGAAGCAGCUUGUCCAAAGUAGCUACAGCUUGUUGAAAAAGCCAGAAAACAGAAUGUCUUUUGACUCCUGGCCAGUCCUACGUUCUGGACUCCUCCUUGGGAGUCAGAUGGAAACACUGGAUUUAGUUAUAACUGCAUUAUCAGAGUGGAAGCAGGCAGAUUUCUGCCCAAAAUUAAUGCUAUGCCCAGAACUUUUGUGUGGCAGAGACCUGUGGACAGCAGAGCAUCCAAUAGGAAAGGCUCAUGCCCCACCAAAACUGAGGUGUGACCCCACAAAUAGGAGCUAAACAUGGUUUCGGAUGCCAAGGUCCUUUGGAGGAGAAUAGGGUUAGCAAGUAUGCAGAAAGAGUCUAUUCUCUAAAGCACGAUCUGGACAAGCAGUUGCGUUUAAAGGCCUUGUGGAAAAAAAGCUUUUAAGGAGAUUACAUCAUAGCUACUUUCUGUGUUAACACUCUGCUCUGGCAUUUAUCUUUACAAUGGGCGCACACGUCAGCUACUGCCCUCUGUCACAUGUUUUUCUAACCAGCAGUCUCCUGAUGAGAUGCUGCUUCUCCCUCUCCAUCUGAUUCUCCCUCAGCAAAAGGACAGAACUGUUUUUACCCUGAUAAAUCACACGCUACCAGUUCUGACCUAAGCAAAUUAGAAUUGAAGCCUAUGGCAGUCUCCUUGCAACAGCACAGUCUGGAAAGCCUCAUGGGUACCAUCUCAUUUCCCUGCUGUCCAUAACCUGGACAAGCACCAAGCUGAGUAGCACAGAGCAAGAUGACACCCCUAUAAAGUCCUACUGCAUGACAGCCAUCAUUCAGGCAAAUAUUGCUGUACUUGGUGGUCUGAUUUUUGAAAUGCAGGAGUUGAUCAGAUUUGUGGGUAUCUAGUGCCUCCAAGAAACAGGUCACAAACGCCUGAAUGUUUUGUGUUAAAUUAGUACUCUGGAAUUUAUUUCAGAAGGUGACCUGAUUUCUGCAGGUUCUAAGCACUUAGAUGCUUUAAUUUGGAUGCCUGAUAUGCCAGACUUGAUUUAACCUUCUGUGUUUUAUCAUACAACCUCUCUUCUCUGAGAUAUUGUCCCAUGGGAACUGAAAUCCCUCUAAAGACUUCAGCCUCAGCUCUUUCCUUCCUCGUUCAGUGAUUAUUAUUAUUAUUUAUUUAUUUAUUUACUUAUUUAUUUUGCAAGAUCCUUACCCUAUCCUGAGAUUCUCCUCUAGUCACAGUAGCCCAAGUGUUUCUAUAGUGUUCCAAGGUAUAGGAAUAAAAAGUUCUAUCUUUGCACAGUUAUUCCUUUCCCAAUUCUGUAAUGGGAUAAAUAAUUUUUCCCUAGCAACCAGCUGCGUUUCCUCGAUCUCUUCACCAACCUUGUAUUCAAGCAAAAACAUCAGUGAGGCAGUGGUUUAGAGCAGAACAACAACCGCACAGCCAUGACCUGAAGACAGUGAUUCUCAGUUCUUUAGAACAGAGGCACUGCUGAGAGGCACAGACAUACGCAAGUGCUGUACCAUCCACUUCAUUGCACAAACACACAGCCCAGCUCUCCAGUGGCAAGCGAUGUGCAGAGAGCAUGAGCUACCCUUCAGAAGGGAAAAUCAGUGCCUGUGAUCAGCUGCUUGCCUAAGCAAACUGUGGGAUCCCCUCAUAUUCAGGAAAGAGGCCUGAAAACACAAACUCAUCGUGCAGAGUCUGCCUUUGCCAUUUCAGUGCUCUGAUACCUGAAAAUAUA